RNAcentral lists this long non-coding RNA (286 nucleotides) under Bos taurus (domestic cattle). Its description in RNAcentral is "long non-coding RNA NONBTAT006022". The record is from RNAcentral. Lineage: Eukaryota; Metazoa; Chordata; Mammalia; Artiodactyla; Bovidae.
AGCAGAUGAUGCUUUUGGUUAAGCAAUUCAUGGGUCAGUGACCUGUUAAGUAAUUUGUCUCUGAAUCUUCAGUUACUUCAGUAACAUUUCUGCCUAUUCUGAGAAGGCUAUUUAAACCAGUUAGUUUUUCUCUGAACUAUCAGACUUAAAAUUGCUGUAAAUGAAUGUUGCUUUUUACUCAUAUGAAUGGAACCUGCCUUAAAACCCUCAACUGGUAUCCACCAUGUGAUGUCCUGCUCGCGUGCACAAGACUCCAGACAGUGUCUCUAUAAAUGUGUUUUAUUUU